Molecule: long non-coding RNA, 369 nt
Filed under: Anolis carolinensis (green anole)
Lineage: Eukaryota; Metazoa; Chordata; Lepidosauria; Squamata; Anolidae
Description: lncRNA (ENSACAG00000040608.1)
Source: RNAcentral
AUGUUGGGGAGGUGUCUGUAUGGAUGCAGAAAGAUUUACGAGAAUCAGAAACAGAAGAAAUUGGAAGAUUCUGUGUUAGAAUCCAAGAGGAAAUUGACCACCUACCAAGAGAGAAGGGAAAUGGAUAAGACCUGGACAAGUACUGAAGUUCUCCUGGAUCCAACGUCCCUGCCAACAAAGGCGAUCCCUCGUAAUUCAAGGAUGAUGAUCCGAGAGUGGCUUCUCAGUCUGUUGCAGCCUUCUUCCGCCUUCACAGCCGUUGUAACAUGUACCAUGUUAUCCUCCGCCUGCUCCGCCGUUGAGGUCUUUGGGUCUUUGGAUUGUUCUUGGUCUGCAUCCUCCCCUGUGGCCACUCCUGGGAGUGUGUGA